GCCCAGACUCCUACGGGAGGCAGCAGUGGGGGAUAUUGCACAAUGGGGGGAACCCUGAUGCAGCGACGCCGCGUGGGUGAAGGAGUGCUUCGGCAUGUAAAGCCCUAUCGGCAGGGAAGAAGCAAGACGGUACCUGACUAAGAAGCCCCGGCUAACUACGUGCCAGCAGCCGCGGGAAUACGUAGGGGGCGAGCGUUAUCCGGAUUCACUGGGUGUAAAGGGAGCGUAGACGGCCAUGCAAGCCAGGGGUGAAAGCCCGGGGCCCAACCCCGGGACUGCUUUGGAAACUGUGCAGCUCGAGUGCAGGAGAGGUAAGCGGAAUUCCUAGUGUAGCGGUGAAAUGCGUAGAUAUCAGGAGGAACACCAGUGGCGAAGGCGGCUUGCUGGACGAUGACUGACGUUGAGGCUCGAAAGCGUGGGGAGCAAACAGGAUUAGAUACCCGAGUAAA
This 449-nucleotide ribosomal RNA is filed under the name uncultured bacterium. RNAcentral describes it as "bacterial SSU rRNA". It matches the Rfam family "Bacterial small subunit ribosomal RNA", at positions 329 to 794 of the family's 1533-position model. The record is from RNAcentral.